UCGUGCGGAAACGAGUUAUCUGAACCUUCGGGGAACGAUAACGGCGUCGAGCGGCGGACGGGUGAGUAAUGCCGAGGAAAUUGCCCUGAUGUGGGGGAUAACCAUUGGAAACGAUGGCUAAUACCGCAUAAUACCUACGGGUCAAAGAGGGGGACCUUCGGGCCUCUCGCGUCAGGAUAUGCCUAGGUGGGAUUAGCUAGUUGGUGAGGUAAUGGCUCACCAAGGCGACGAUCCCUAUCUGGUCUGACAGGAUGACCAGGCUCGCUGGAACUGAGACACGGUCCAGACUCCUACGGGAGGCAGCAGGGGGGAAUAUUGCACCAUGGGCGCACGCCUGAUGCAGCCAUGCCGCCUGUGUGACGAACGCCCUCCCGUUGUCAACCAC
Molecule: ribosomal RNA, 385 nt
Filed under: Vibrio sp.
Lineage: Bacteria; Pseudomonadati; Pseudomonadota; Gammaproteobacteria; Vibrionales; Vibrionaceae
Description: bacterial SSU rRNA
Rfam family: Bacterial small subunit ribosomal RNA
Source: RNAcentral